UUUUCGUGUCUAAUGUUUGCGUAUCCACGUUUGACCGUCCGUCUUAUUUAAAAAAAUUAUUAAAAAAAUUUAAAAAAAAACAAGUCACGCAUAAAAUAUUAAUCAUGUUUUAUCAUCUAACAACAAUAAAAAUAUAAAUUAUAGAAAAAUUUCAUAUAAGACGGACAGUCAAAGUUGGACACGGAAGGUUAGAGUUUGUUUUUUU
Molecule: microRNA precursor, 205 nt
Organism: Oryza sativa Indica Group (long-grained rice)
Lineage: Eukaryota; Viridiplantae; Streptophyta; Magnoliopsida; Poales; Poaceae
Rfam family: MIR812 microRNA precursor family
Source: Rfam